GUAACCUGGUUGAUCCUGCCAGUAGUCAUAUGCUUGUCUCAAAGAUUAAGCCAUGCAUGUCUAAGUAUAAGCAACUAUACUGUGAAACUGCGAAUGGCUCAUUAAAUCAGUUAUCGUUUAUUUGAUAGUACCUUACUACAUGGAUAACCGUGGUAAUUCUAGAGCUAAUACAUGCUAAAAACCUCGACUUCGGA
This 194-nucleotide ribosomal RNA is filed under the name uncultured eukaryote. RNAcentral describes it as "partial 18S ribosomal RNA". It matches the Rfam family "Eukaryotic small subunit ribosomal RNA", at positions 1 to 193 of the family's 1831-position model. The record is from RNAcentral.